RNAcentral lists this ribosomal RNA (443 nucleotides) under uncultured bacterium. Its description in RNAcentral is "bacterial SSU rRNA". It matches the Rfam family "Bacterial small subunit ribosomal RNA", at positions 338 to 795 of the family's 1533-position model. The record is from RNAcentral.
CCUACGGGAGGCAGCAGUGGGGAAUAUUGCACAAUGGGGGAAACCCUGAUGCAGCGACGCCGCGUGAAGGAAGAAGGUCUUCGGAUCGUAAACCUCUAUCCGCAGGGAAGAAGAAAGUGACGAUACCUGAAUAAGAAGCCCCGGCCAACCACGUGCCAGCAGCCGCGGGAAUACGGAGGGGGCAAGCGUUACCCGGGAUCACUGGGUGUAAAGGGUGCGUAGGCGGUAGGGCCAGUCGGGUGUGAAAGCCCGGCGCUAAACUCCGGGAUUGCAUUUGAAACUGUCUUACUUGAGUGCAGGAGAGGAAGGCGGAAUUCCUAGUGUAGCGGUGAAAUGCGUAGAUAUUAGGAAGAACACCAGUGGCGAAGGCGGCUUUCUGGACUGUAACUGACGCUGAGGCACGAAAGCGUGGGGAGCGAACAGGAUUAGAUACCCCUGUAGUC